AAAAUGAAAUUUCUAAUUAAAUUAAAUUCCUCUAUAAAAAGACAACAAACGGGCAGCCUUAAUUUACAUCAAUCAUAUAAUAACUGCACAUGUGCAGUUGCCAGUGAAGUUUCAUUUUUGUCAAAAGAACACAAAGUGAAAUUUAGAUCGAAGAAGUUUCACUUUGGGCUAUAAAGUAUAUAUCUUAAAGUUUAUGAACGGUGACAAACGAGUUUUGACUUCACUUGGGACGAAAGGAAACUCUUACGUAAACGCCGCCCAAGAGAAUGGAAGAAAAAUCUGGAUUUCUAACCGGUUACACCUUACGCUCGACAUCAACAACAACCCAUUAGAAUAGAACAAGUGUCUGUACCAAACUACGCUGUCAUGUCUUGGCUAGCUUGUUUGUUUUGUUGUUGGCCAAUUGGUAUUGCAGCUAUAAUUAAAUCCAACGAGGUGGAUAAUGCACUUGUUGUCAAGGAUAUUCCACGCGCUCAACGAGCAUCAAAAGCUGCUAAGAAAUACGCCAUUGUUGCCGUUAUACUUAGCCUGAUUUUCAUACCUAUUGCCAUUGUACUAAUUCGUCAAAGUGUGUUGAAUGUGAUGAAUGCAAAUUGAACUAUAUAGUUUGUUUUAUGAACUAAAAUAGUCUACUUUAUGUUUACAAAGUUGUUAGUUUUAUGAACAUUGUUAGCCAUUGUAUAACAUGUACAUAUAAAUACAUUAGCGGCUAAGGCGUCUAAAACCAAUAUAAUUGCACCGUUGAUGAACAAAUGACGUAAAACAAUUUAAUCUUCAUGUAAUCCUUAGUUGAAAAUAAAACAGGAACUUUUUUUAUUUUUCUUUCUCGGAAAUUAUUUCUUUGCUAUAUUUAAAAAAACAAAAAAUGUCAUGACCUUAAGGAAUUUUGUCUUGAGUAAUAUUUAUAAACAACCAAAUGUUUGCAACAACCUGUAAGUUCAUAAAAAUUAGACCCAGAUAAGUAAAAAAUGAGAAAGGGUAAUGUUGAACACAAGUUAUGUUUGUAAUUGUGUUAUCUGUGCACAAAAUAUAUUUCUGAAACCGCCGCAAACUCCGUUUUUUAACGAACUUUUUUCUGCUUCUUCACGUAGUACGUAGACCAAUCACGUAGCCCGCAUUUUGUGAAUAACCAAUUUAAGUUCUUUACGGCCUCGGUAUGCAAAGAAAUAUGUAACAAGAGAAAAAAAACAACAGAAUUACACACGAAACACUGCCACGCUGUGUACACUUUACUGGAUUUGUGACAUACAGUAUAGCUUUACUAUAGCACUCCAUCUGGAGAUGCGGCACGGCUCACCUUCACUUUAGCGCUCAACAUGGUGUUUACCGAUUAAUUGCGGGUGGCUUACCCCAGUCUUUCCCUCUAGUCUAUUAUACUUACUCCCCA
Molecule: long non-coding RNA, 1387 nt
Organism: Hydractinia symbiolongicarpus
Lineage: Eukaryota; Metazoa; Cnidaria; Hydrozoa; Anthoathecata; Hydractiniidae
Exons: 4
Source: RefSeq, a predicted model, not a curated record